This 527-nucleotide ribosomal RNA is filed under the name uncultured bacterium. Its description in RNAcentral is "bacterial SSU rRNA". It matches the Rfam family "Bacterial small subunit ribosomal RNA", at positions 28 to 504 of the family's 1533-position model. The record is from RNAcentral.
GAUGAACGCCGGAGCUGAAGACACAUAGAGUACAUGCAAGUCGUACGCACUGGCCCAACUGAUUGAUGGUGCUUGCACCUGAUUGACGAUGGAUCACCCGUGAGUGGCGGACGGGUGAGUAACACGUAGGUAACCUGCCCUGGAGCGGGGGAUAACAUUUGGAAACAGAUGCUAAUACCGCAUAACAACAAAAGCCGCAUGGCUUUUAUUUGAAAGAUGGCUUUGGCUAUCACUCUGGGAUGGACCUGCGGUGCAUUAGCUAGUUGGUAAGGUAACGGCUUACCAAGGCGAUGAUGCAUAGCCGAGUUGAGAGACUGAUCGGCCACGAUGGAACUUUUUUUACGGUCCAUACUCCUACGGGAGGCAGCAGUAGGGAAUCUUCCACUAUGGGCGCAAGCCUGAUGGAGCAACACCGCGUGAGUGAAGAAAGGUUUCGGCUCGUAAAGCUCUGUUGUUGGAGAAGAACGUGCGUGAGAGUAACUGUUCACGCAGUGACGGUAUCCAACCAGAAAGUCACGGCUAACUAC